GACGAACGCUGGCGGCGUGCUUAACACAUGCAAGUCGAACGAAAAUACCAAGCUUGCUUGGUUGAUUAGUGGCGAACGGGUGAGUAACACGUGAGUAACCUGCCCCUUACUUUCUGGAUAACUGCUCGAAAGGGUAGCUAAUACGGGAUAUUCUGGCCUUCCUGCAUGGGUUGGUUUGGAAAGAUUUUUUCUGGUGAGGGAUGGGCUCGCGGCCUAUCAGCUUGUUGGUGGGGUGAUGGCCUACCAAGGCUUUGACGGGUAGCCGGCCUGAGAGGGUGGACGGUCACACUGGGACUGAGAUACGGCCCAGACUCCUACGGGAGGCAGCAGUGGGGAAUAUUGCACAAUGGGCGCAAGCCUGAUGCAGCGACGCCGCGUGAGGGAUGAAGGCCUUCGGGUUGUAAACCUCUUUCGUCAGGGAACAAGGCACUGCUUUUGGUGGUGUUGAGGGUACCUGGAUAAGAAGCGCCGGCUAACUACGUGCCAGCAGCCGCGGUAAUACGUAGGGCGCAAGCGUUGUCCGGAAUUAUUGGGCGUAAAGAGCUCGUAGGCGGCUGGUCGCGUCUGUCGUGAAAACUUCCGGCUCAACCGGGGGCUUGCGGUGGGUACGGGCCGGCUAGAGUGCGGUAGGGGUAACUGGAACUCCUGGUGUAGCGGUGGAAUGCGCAGAUAUCAGGAAGAACACCGAUGGCGAAGGCAGGUUACUGGGUCCGUUACUGACGCUGAGGAGCGAAAGCGUGGGGAGCGAACAGG
RNAcentral lists this ribosomal RNA (753 nucleotides) under uncultured Actinomyces sp. RNAcentral describes it as "bacterial SSU rRNA". It matches the Rfam family "Bacterial small subunit ribosomal RNA", at positions 28 to 776 of the family's 1533-position model. Lineage: Bacteria; Bacillati; Actinomycetota; Actinomycetes; Actinomycetales; Actinomycetaceae. The record is from RNAcentral.